RNAcentral lists this long non-coding RNA (1306 nucleotides) under Triticum aestivum (bread wheat). Its description in RNAcentral is "long non-coding RNA (TAES_LNC015516)". Lineage: Eukaryota; Viridiplantae; Streptophyta; Magnoliopsida; Poales; Poaceae. The record is from RNAcentral.
UUUUUUUUCUCUUUUAUACUUGAUUCACUCAUUUAGAUGUGCAAUAACUAUAGCUCAUCUAGAUGUGCCCUAGACACACCCUUCGUAGAGUCACCAUUCCAAAUAAAAAUCAGGUGAGUGUGUGAUUGGAUAAUUAGAAGAUUUAGCGCAGCUAACCCGAUUGGGCUAACGUCGCUCUCAAGAGGCAUGAGGGGCCACUUGCAAAAUACUUAUAUAGGAGUAGUAUAUUCUGAGAAGCCACUCUUGACCGUAGGUCAAUCCUUUCGCAGCCAUACUUCCUUUAUGAAAAGGAUGCGGCUAAGCAAAGAUAAAUAAGCAGAGAUCCAUCCAUGCGUUCAAAUCCAGAUGAUUGGUCCAGCAGGCAAAGUGAGCAGUGAAGGUGAAGCAUUGCCUCGGUCGUAGGUAAGCUCCACUGACACUGACGCAUUUUGAAACGGUAAAAAGGUACUCCCUCCGUUUCGAAUUACUUGUCUUAGAUUUGUCUAGAUGCGGAGGUAUCUAGCACUAAAUAGAUCGUCAUGGUUCACAGCCUCAGCAAUGGAGUGCUGGAGUAGGCACAAAAAAGCUCACCAAGAUUUUCAGCAGGUCGUUGGUGCGUGCAUGUCCACCAGCGGCGAGCGGCCGUGACUUUCCACAGCAAAUUCCAAAAGGGGGUGACACACCGCACCACAUAUCCCCAAAUAUCCUUUUCCGUCCGUCCCUCCGGCCGUCGGUGUCGCUGAACGCAGAAAACCGUGUCGAAUUGUUCCAAAGCCUUGAACUUCUUUCCUCCUCUUUUUCCCCUGUGUUGACGAGCAGGAAAUUCAAGGUGGAAAAUCAUUACACAAAGACUAAUACUAAAACAAAAUAAAAUAACAUAAAUUAUACCGUAAUAAUAAUGGUUUUGAUGAAAGUGGUUCCACCUUUUUAGGUGCAUCGCAUUUGCAUUUGGCUUUGGGCAACUAUCCCUGGCCAAAUGUAGUGCUCCAUGUUGGUUGACACCAUAUAGAGGAAAAAAGGGUAAAGGAAGUUGCCUUCGACUUCAACGUCGUCUUGUGCCUCUUCGCAGGAAGCAACCUUGGAACCCUCCCAGAAAACGGCUCGAAAAGAAAUUCUCUCCUACAAAAAGUGAAGCGAUUAGGCUGCUGAAAUGCACAUUAUAUUUUGUGCUGCAGAAUAAAACAUGUAGGGACUAGUGUGUGUGUUUCACUGUCACAACCCACAGCCAUAGACUGGAGACUGGACUGCCUGCUGCUGAAAAUCAAGAAAGGGACGCCAUGCAGCAGCAUGCACACCAGCAAGCACCCAUCCGUCCAUCCAAUCCACG